CGCCCUUAGAGUUUGAUCAUGGCUCAGAUUGAACGCUGGCGGCAGGCUUAACACAUGCAAGUCGAGCGGUAGGAGAGCUUGCUCUCUACGAGCGGCGGACGGGUGAGUAAUGUCUGGGAAACUGCCUGAUGGAGGGGGAUAACUACUGGAAACGGUAGCUAAUACCGCAUAACGUCGCAAGACCAAAGAGGUUCGUCUUGCCAUCAGAUGUGCCCAGAUGGGAUUAGCUAGUAGGUGGGGUAACGGCUCACCUAGGCGACGAUCCCUAGCUGGUCUGAGAGGAUGACCAGCCACACUGGAACUGAGACACGGUCCAGACUCCUACGGGAGGCAGCAGUGGGGAAUAUUGCACAAUGGGCGCAAGCCUGAUGCAGCCAUGCCGCGUGUAUGAAGAACGCCUUCGGGUUGUAAAGUACUUUCAGCAGGGAGGAAGGCAUUAAGGU
This 443-nucleotide ribosomal RNA is filed under the name uncultured Serratia sp. RNAcentral describes it as "bacterial SSU rRNA". It matches the Rfam family "Bacterial small subunit ribosomal RNA", at positions 1 to 460 of the family's 1533-position model. Lineage: Bacteria; Pseudomonadati; Pseudomonadota; Gammaproteobacteria; Enterobacterales; Yersiniaceae. The record is from RNAcentral.